This 331-nucleotide ribosomal RNA is filed under the name uncultured eukaryote. Its description in RNAcentral is "partial 18S ribosomal RNA". It matches the Rfam family "Eukaryotic small subunit ribosomal RNA", at positions 1470 to 1796 of the family's 1831-position model. The record is from RNAcentral.
CCCUUAGAUGUUCUGGGCCGCACGCGCGUUACACUGUUCGACGCAGCGAGUCUUAACCUUGACCGAAAGGUUUGGGUAAUCUUCAGCAAAGUCGAACGUGAUGGGGAUCGAUCAUUGCAAUUAUUGAUCGUGAACGAGGAAUUCCUAGUAAGUGCAAGUCAUCAGCUUGCGCUGAUUACGUCCCUGCCCUUUGUACACACCGCCCGUCGCUACUACCGAUUGAAUGGUUUAGUGAGAUCUCUGGAUUGACGCUGGCUAGGGGGCGACCCUUGGCCAGGCUGUCGAGAAACUGCUCAAACUUGAUCAUUUAGAGGAAGUAAAAGUCGUAACA